Molecule: long non-coding RNA, 701 nt
Organism: Lycium ferocissimum
Lineage: Eukaryota; Viridiplantae; Streptophyta; Magnoliopsida; Solanales; Solanaceae
Exons: 2
Source: RefSeq, a predicted model, not a curated record
UAAAUGUUUGAUAGUUUUUUCUAUUGAAUUCGAGAUUUAAGUCGGUCGCUAAUGUUACCUUUUUAUUUCAGAAUCAAUAUCAACAUUCAAAGGCGGAGUUUCUUCGUACUCAGCCACCCAACACAGAGCUGACAGAAGAACAAAUGGAGGAAAGGUGGCUUGAGAGUGUUGGUGGUCCCACUAGGUUUGGCACAGCUUACGGAAUGCCACAUCCUAUCUAGCCGCUACGUGCCUCGGAGGAAAGGGAGAGGCGGAGGGACGUGCAGUUUGACGGUAUGAGGGCCCAGUUAGACGCAUUACUUGCUUCGAGGGGGAUUCCCUCGUGUCCUGAUGAUGCUCGUAACCCCCAUACUCAAUCUAAUGGUGCGACUGAUGAUGGGACUCAUGUGUCAAACACACAAAGGCAUGUUUGAAUGUUAAUGUUGUGGAUUUGCGAGGGGUGAAGUAGUCUAAUGUUGUAGACUAACUUAGUGUAGACUAGUUUAAUAUUUUGUGGAUGUUUACAAAUGUUGAAGUAGUUUAAUGUUGUUUUGAUGUUUGCGAAGGUUGAAGUAGCUUAAUUAAUGUCUCUUGUGAAUGUUUGAUUGACGUUUUUAUUCAACUUUGAAGUAGUUUCGAAUUGAAUUUGAUGUUUUGGUGGUUGUAAUAUAUGUGUUGUAAUAGUAGCUUAUUGUUUUAUGUAUUUAUAGUAGUUUGGUGUA